GCUCCCGUGGUGAAAUGGAUCUCACGUGUCUCUCCGGAAGAUAAGUUACAGGUUCGAUUCCUGUCGGGAGCGCCA
This 75-nucleotide transfer RNA is filed under the name Psychrosphaera haliotis. RNAcentral describes it as "tRNA-Arg". It matches the Rfam family "tRNA". Rfam says of the family: Transfer RNA (tRNA) molecules are approximately 80 nucleotides in length. The record is from RNAcentral. Lineage: Bacteria; Pseudomonadati; Pseudomonadota; Gammaproteobacteria; Alteromonadales; Pseudoalteromonadaceae.